AACGAACGCUGGCGGCAUGCCUAACACAUGCAAGUCGAACGAGAUCUUCGGGUCUAGUGGCGCACGGGUGCGUAACGCGUGGGAAUCUGCCCUUUGGUUCGGAAUAACAGUUGGAAACGACUGCUAAUACCGGAUGAUGACGAAAGUCCAAAGAUUUAUCGCCAGAGGAUGAGCCCGCGUAGGAUUAGCUAGUUGGUGUGGUAAGGGCGCACCAAGGCGACGAUCCUUAGCUGGUCUGAGAGGAUGAUCAGCCCCACUGGGACUGAGACACGGCCCAGACUCCUACGGGAGGCAGCAGUGGGGAACAUUGGACAAUGGGCGAAAGCCUGUUCCAGCAAUGCCGCGUGAGUGAUGAAGGCCUUAGGGUUGUAAAGCUCUUUUACCCGGGAUGAUAAUGACAGUACCGGGAGAAUAAGCUCCGGCUAACUCCGUGCCAGCAGCCGCAGUAA
This 449-nucleotide ribosomal RNA is filed under the name uncultured bacterium. Its description in RNAcentral is "partial 16S ribosomal RNA". It matches the Rfam family "Bacterial small subunit ribosomal RNA", at positions 29 to 523 of the family's 1533-position model. The record is from RNAcentral.